GAGGGUAUAGCUCAGUGGUAGAGCACGUGCUUAGCAUGCACAAGGUCCUGGGUUCAAUCCCCAGUACUUCCA
This 72-nucleotide transfer RNA is filed under the name Camelus bactrianus (Bactrian camel). It matches the Rfam family "tRNA". Rfam says of the family: Transfer RNA (tRNA) molecules are approximately 80 nucleotides in length. Lineage: Eukaryota; Metazoa; Chordata; Mammalia; Artiodactyla; Camelidae. RNAcentral also lists the same sequence under 2 other names. The record is from Rfam by way of RNAcentral.